AGGACGAACGCUGGCGGCGUGCUUAACACAUGCAAGUCGAGCGGUAAGGCCUUUCGGGGUACACGAGCGGCGAACGGGUGAGUAACACGUGGGUGAUCUGCCCUGCACUCUGGGAUAAGCCUGGGAAACUGGGUCUAAUACCGGAUAUGACCUGCUCUCGCAGUGGGGGGUGGGUAGGAAAGUAUUUAGUCGGGUGCAGGAGUCGGGCCCGACGGCCUAUCAGUCUUGGUUGGGUGGGUAAUGGACCCUACCGAAGGCGACGGACGGGUACGCCGACCUGGAG
Molecule: ribosomal RNA, 283 nt
Filed under: uncultured soil bacterium
Lineage: Bacteria
Description: partial 16S ribosomal RNA
Rfam family: Bacterial small subunit ribosomal RNA
Source: RNAcentral